This 96-nucleotide small nucleolar RNA is filed under the name Blumeria hordei DH14. RNAcentral's name for it is "small nucleolar RNA Z13/snr52". It matches the Rfam family "Small nucleolar RNA Z13/snr52". Rfam says of the family: Z13 or snr52 is a member of the C/D class of snoRNA which contain the C (UGAUGA) and D (CUGA) box motifs. Most of the members of the box C/D family function in directing site-specific 2'-O-methylation of substrate RNAs. The record is from RNAcentral. Lineage: Eukaryota; Fungi; Ascomycota; Leotiomycetes; Helotiales; Erysiphaceae.
CCAUUGUACAUGAAGAACUCAGGAUGUUAACUCAUUAUAUCCGUGAGCGCAAAACUGUGUGGAUACUUCCGUUGCUUUCCUUUUGACCAUUCAAUU